RNAcentral lists this long non-coding RNA (247 nucleotides) under Homo sapiens (human). RNAcentral's name for it is "non-protein coding lnc-SRPK2-12:1". Lineage: Eukaryota; Metazoa; Chordata; Mammalia; Primates; Hominidae. The record is from RNAcentral.
CUUCCUGCCAGAGGUACUCUCUCUCUCUCAGCGAGGUCUGUCCCACAGGUGUUCUUUCUCCAAAUAUCAUCUUGAAGUCAAUUGGCCUUCCUUGAUAAUAUGUUUCCUGAUUUUCUCGGCGGCAUAUAGUUCAGUGGUUAAAUGUGUGUGUUCAGGAGCCAUUCUCCCUGGCUUUCAACCCUAAUUCAACAACUUACCAGCUGGGUAACUCUAGAGAAGAUGUUUUACAUAUCUGUGCUUCAAUUUC